GAUUUUUCAAAUAUGAUAUUUUUAACAUAUUUUUAAAUUUUUAAAUUAAAAAAAAUACUUUAAAUAUAUUUUUAUAAAUAUUUUAUAUUUUUAUGGCAUCAUGCGUGGAAGAAAUUCAUUUUAGAACUGCGUACAUGAGCCGGACUUAGAUAAAAAUUGAAAAGUUGAAGUCGGAUGAAAUCUGGCCCAGGCCCACAUUCUGAACAGGUGUACCAGUGCCAGCAACUACUGCCACCACUUGUUGGCUGUGAAGUGGAGCGUAGUGGCAUUCGUCAUUACUUCAUUUCUCAUCCACUAAAAGUGGAAAAAGUGCCUCAAUAAUUAAGUUUUUAAAGUUAUAUAAUAUAAGCAACUAUUGUUGUGCCACACACUUCAAUUAUUUUUUUACAGGAUCGCUGUUCAAUUUCGUCGGUCAUUCCAUUUUUUCACGUUUUGUAGUAGGAGAAUAUUUGAUUAUGUUAAACUUUGUUUUAUGUACAUUUUUAUAGCUUUAUAAUUUAAUUUGAAUUCUCC
Molecule: long non-coding RNA, 513 nt
Filed under: Ricinus communis (castor bean)
Lineage: Eukaryota; Viridiplantae; Streptophyta; Magnoliopsida; Malpighiales; Euphorbiaceae
Description: long non-coding RNA (RCOM_LNC000395)
Source: RNAcentral